AGUGAACGCUGGCGGUAGGCCUAACACAUGCAAGUCGAACGGCAGCACAGUAAGAGCUUGCUCUUACGGGUGGCGAGUGGCGGACGGGUGCGGAAUACAUCGGAAUCUACUUUUUCGUGGGGGAUAACGUAGGGAAACUUACGCUAAUACUGCAUAGGACCUACGGGUGAAAGCAGGGGAUCUUCGGACCUUGCGCGAGUGGAUGAGCCUAUGUCGGAUUAGCUAGUUGGCGGGGUAAAGGCCCACCAAGGCGAAGAUCCGUAGCUGGUCUGAGAGGAUGAUCAGCCACACUGGAACUGAGACACGGUCCAGACUCCUACGGGAGGCAGCAGUGGGGAAUAUUGGACAAUGGGCGCAAGCCUGAUCCAGCCAUGCCGCGUGGGUGAAGAAGGCCUUCGGGUUGUAAAGCCCUUUUGUUGGGAAAGAAAAGCAGCAAGUUAAUACCCCGCUGUUCUGACGGUACCCAAAGAAUAAGCACCGGCUAACUUCGUG
This 492-nucleotide ribosomal RNA is filed under the name uncultured bacterium. Its description in RNAcentral is "partial 16S ribosomal RNA". It matches the Rfam family "Bacterial small subunit ribosomal RNA", at positions 29 to 507 of the family's 1533-position model. The record is from RNAcentral.